This is a long non-coding RNA of Populus euphratica (Euphrates poplar), 1140 nucleotides long. RefSeq lists it as uncharacterized. The record is from RefSeq and is a predicted model, not a curated record. Lineage: Eukaryota; Viridiplantae; Streptophyta; Magnoliopsida; Malpighiales; Salicaceae. The transcript is spliced from 2 exons.
UAAAUUUUCAUUUUCAUUUUGUUCUUUGUUUUUACUGAUUUUAGGGUUUUGGUUGGGGUUUUUUAGUUACUAAUUCGAUUUCGUUCCAUAAUUAAGCAUCUAAUACAUUGUCCAAUGCAUGUUUUCUUAAUUGCCUCUUCUAUUUACAAGGCAGGCGAUAUUUCUCUUGCUUUGCAUUUGAUUUCGUGUUCGUUUGGGUCUGUCUCCAGCCAGAUUUGACAGAUUUUCUAGGCGAUCCGUGUCGCGUCUGUUGCUCUUCCUCUCUGUCAUUCAUUCAUUCAUGAUUGAACGAACUCCAGGUAGAUAAGUUGAUUUGAAUUGCUGCUUUGUAGCCAUGGAAGUCCUUUGAUUGUUGUCUUUUCAGUUUAUCAUUCUUAUGCAGUCUUGAGUGCUGUUCUUCUUUCUACGCUAUGAUUACAUUUUUUUUCUCCUUGCCUUCAGAUGCAGUACAGGCUGUGGAUUUCAUUGGAGUCAGCUUUCACCAUGUCAGGAGGCUCUCUCUGUGUUUUUGUUCAUAGCAGGUUCUAGAGGAGUAGCCUGAGCUUUUGGUUUCGUUUCCAGCAGUUUCCAUGUGAAUCGCCUUACAAUUCUUGCUGUGGAAUUCCAGCUUAGAAUAGAUUGCUCUUCGCCUUCUGCUUUUACAGAUAUGUAGAUUGUUGGUAUUUGUGCGGAGAUGCAUGGAAGAGGGAAUAAUGGUAGAAUUGCUAUGAGCUGAUGAACAACUUGGUAAGAUGGCAGAUCGGAAAAAAUUGAACCAUAAAUGACUUCCAUCAUGAACAAAUACAGGCAUACACAUGUAGAAGAUGAUCAUUGUGAAUUGUAAUAUUGUUUUAGAGUUUACAAUUACAUGAAAUAAUUUGUAGUAUUUCUGAAAUUAAUUAGAGGAGGGAGAUGUAAGGAUUAGUGUGAGAUGUUCCAGUGUAGAUCAGAAUACCGUCAUUAUUAAUUAUUCAAUCAUUCAGCUUAGCUUUAGCUGAUCAUGGUAAGUGAUGGCUGCCAUACAGCAAAAUUUCAUGGUUGCCUUUUUCGCCCAUGAAAUUGAGAAACAUUAUUAGAGCUCUUUAAAGAACUGUCCUCCACCUUAUUGCCUUUCUUCUUUGAAUUUAUGGAAUAAUCUAUUGCCUUGUGCUUGACAUCAAA